UAUAAGGGAGACCCCAGGGAGCUCCCUCACCUGUUCCACCGCAUGAGGACACAGUGAGAGGACACCGGAUAUGAACAGGAGAUGGGUCCUCACCUGACACUGGAUCUGCGGGCACCUUGAUCUUGCACUUCCAGCCUCCAGAAUAGCGCAGCACGGUGUGGCAUCCCUCUGGCACCCACUAUGAGGUCAUGGAGCAAAGGUGGACUGAGCGUUGUCUGAGACCAUCUGCAUGAGCCACAUUCUGAAUACCGAUUAAUGAAAGUCUAAUAAUUUCACGUAAGAAGACUGUGAUAAUUUAAAAAUAGUAACUUAAAAGCCAGAUUUUUUUUGUCAAAGCCGUAAUCUUUGACAGUGGCUGUGCUGCCUGCGUGUGGAUCCAAGCAUCUUGGAGACAAGAUCACCUCUGGGAAGAGACGACAGGUGUCCCCUGGCAAGCCUGGACAGAGGGCCAGCCUCGUCGUGACCUCAAAACCCGCUCCCACCGGCCUCCACGGGACAUCCAGGACUCGACUCGACACGGGUCGUCCGUCACUACCUGCAUCCUGGUCCCCAUACAUCCCUGACUGGACUCACUCUCCCGUCCCACCCUCCCGAACCUUCUAAGUUCAGGGUCAGGGCAGGCAUCUCCCCUUCUAUCCUCAGAUAGACAGCCUGUGCUUGCCCUAGGCUUGUGGAGUUCCCGGCAACUUACAGGCACUCAAAAAUAUGUGGCGAAUAAAUACACGGGUAAAUGGUGACCUUACUGGUCAUAAA
Equus caballus (horse) is the source of this 753-nucleotide long non-coding RNA. RefSeq lists it as uncharacterized. The record is from RefSeq and is a predicted model, not a curated record. Lineage: Eukaryota; Metazoa; Chordata; Mammalia; Perissodactyla; Equidae.